RNAcentral lists this ribosomal RNA (460 nucleotides) under uncultured bacterium. Its description in RNAcentral is "partial 16S ribosomal RNA". It matches the Rfam family "Bacterial small subunit ribosomal RNA", at positions 338 to 795 of the family's 1533-position model. The record is from RNAcentral.
CCUACGGGUGGCAGCAGUGAGGAAUAUUGGUCAAUGGACGAGAGUCUGAACCAGCCAAGUAGCGUGAAGGAUGACUGCCCUAUGGGUUGUAAACUUCUUUUAUAAAGGAAUAAAACGAGGCACGUGUGCCUUUUUGCAUGUACUUUAUGAAUAAGGAUCGGCUAACUCCGUGCCAGCAGCCGCGGUAAUACGGAGGAUCCGAGCGUUAUCCGGAUUUAUUGGGUUUAAAGGGAGCGUAGAUGGGUUGUUAAGUCAGUUGUGAAAGUUUGCGGCUCAACCGUAAAAUUGCAAUUGAUACUGGCAGUCUUGAGUACAGGUGAGGUAGGCGGAAUUCGUGGUGUAGCGGUGAAAUGCUUAGAUAUCACGAAGAACCCCGAUUGCGAAGGCAGCUUACUAAACUGUGACUGACGUUGAUGCUCGAAAGUGUGGGUAUCGAACAGGAUUAGAUACCCUGGUAGUC